GUGCCAGCCGCCGCGGUAAUACGGAGGGUGCAAGCGUUGUUCGGAAUCAUUGGGCGUAAAGCGCGCGCAGGCGGCCUAUUAAGUCUGAUGUGAAAGCCCGAGGCUCAACCUCGGAGGUGCAUUGGAAACUGGUAGGCUUGAGUCCGAGAGAGGUUAGUGGGAUUCGUGGUGUAGGAGUGAAAUCCGUAGAUAUCACGAGGAACACCAGUGGCGAAGGCGACUGACUAGAUCGGAACUGACGCUGAGGCGCGAAAGCGUGGGUAGCAAACAGGAUUAGAUACCCUUGUAGUC
Molecule: ribosomal RNA, 291 nt
Filed under: uncultured bacterium
Lineage: Bacteria
Description: partial 16S ribosomal RNA
Rfam family: Bacterial small subunit ribosomal RNA
Source: RNAcentral